GAAUUCGUGGCCGAGUGGUCUAAGGCGCCAGAUUUAGGCUCUGGUCUUCGUUGGCAGGGGUUCGAAUCCCCUCGAAUUCA
This is a transfer RNA of Fragilariopsis cylindrus CCMP1102, 80 nucleotides long. It matches the Rfam family "tRNA". Rfam says of the family: Transfer RNA (tRNA) molecules are approximately 80 nucleotides in length. Their secondary structure includes four short double-helical elements and three loops (D, anti-codon, and T loops). Further hydrogen bonds mediate the characteristic L-shaped molecular structure. tRNAs have two regions of fundamental functional importance: the anti-codon, which is responsible for specific mRNA codon recognition, and the 3' end, to which the tRNAs corresponding amino acid is attached (by aminoacyl-tRNA synthetases). tRNAs cope with the degeneracy of the genetic code in two manners: having more than one tRNA (with a specific anti-codon) for a particular amino acid; and 'wobble' base-pairing, i.e. permitting non-standard base-pairing at the 3rd anti-codon position. NCBI's taxonomy places the organism in Eukaryota, Bacillariophyta, Bacillariophyceae, Bacillariales, Bacillariaceae. The record is from Rfam.